RNAcentral lists this ribosomal RNA (728 nucleotides) under Clostridium sp. TDGB430. Its description in RNAcentral is "bacterial SSU rRNA". It matches the Rfam family "Bacterial small subunit ribosomal RNA", at positions 42 to 800 of the family's 1533-position model. The record is from RNAcentral. Lineage: Bacteria; Bacillati; Bacillota; Clostridia; Eubacteriales; Clostridiaceae.
GCGUGCCUAACACAUGCAAGUCGAGCGAUCUCUUCGGAGAGAGCGGCGGACGGGUGAGUAACGCGUGGGUAACCUGCCCUGUACACACGGAUAACAUACCGAAAGGUAUACUAAUACGGGAUAACAUACGAAAGUCGCAUGGCUUUUGUAUCAAAGCUCCGGCGGUACAGGAUGGACCCGCGUCUGAUUAGCUAGUUGGUAAGGUAAUGGCUUACCAAGGCAACGAUCAGUAGCCGACCUGAGAGGGUGAUCGGCCACACUGGAACUGAGACACGGUCCAGACUCCUACGGGAGGCAGCAGUGGGGAAUAUUGCACAAUGGGCGAAAGCCUGAUGCAGCAACGCCGCGUGAGCGAUGAAGGCCUUCGGGUCGUAAAGCUCUGUCCUCAAGGAAGAUAAUGACGGUACUUGAGGAGGAAGCCCCGGCUAACUACGUGCCAGCAGCCGCGGUAAUACGUAGGGGGCUAGCGUUAUCCGGAAUUACUGGGCGUAAAGGGUGCGUAGGUGGUUUUUUAAGUCAGAAGUGAAAGGCUACGGCUCAACCGUAGUAAGCUUUUGAAACUAGAGAACUUGAGUGCAGGAGAGGAGAGUAGAAUUCCUAGUGUAGCGGUGAAAUGCGUAGAUAUUAGGAGGAAUACCAGUAGCGAAGGCGGCUCUCUGGACUGUAACUGACACUGAGGCACGAAAGCGUGGGGAGCAAACAGGAUUAGAUACCCUGGUAGUCCACGC